This is a long non-coding RNA of Juglans microcarpa x Juglans regia, 604 nucleotides long. RefSeq lists it as uncharacterized. NCBI's taxonomy places the organism in Eukaryota, Viridiplantae, Streptophyta, Magnoliopsida, Fagales, Juglandaceae. The transcript has 2 exons. The record is from RefSeq and is a predicted model, not a curated record.
AAGUUGUAAUCCACUCGACCCUCACACACACACACACACACACACACACAGGUUUCCAGGUUGCUUGCUCGUGCAAAAUGGAAUUAAAAGAGCUUCUUUCCGAGGAACAAGGAAGGAAAGAGAAAUUCAAGGGUAAUGAAACAGUGGUUCCUAGCAGGACUGGUGACCAAUCGACAAGAGAUGGAGUUGUGAGACUAUGAACACAGGACGCUGAGAUAAUUGGAUAUACUAUCACUCCCACCUACUUGUUGAGAAAAGCAGGUAUUAUCCUGGCUGCCUUUCUGUGAAUUAGCCAACAUGUCAGAUCCUUGAUUCAUGCAACUGCGUUUGAGGUUUACUGCCGCGUAUUUGACUUUGACUACCAUGUCAAUUUUCUACACCAUCUCAACGUUGAUUUAGAUGGCUCAGACAUGGAUGACAUCUGACAUGGAGUUAGAAAUCCCUUGGCUACUUUCUGGAACAGAUUUUUUUGGUCUAGAUUGGGCCAGGAUUACUAAAUAAGCAUGCCACAUCAAGAUUUGAGUUUGCGGUUACGUUUUUGUCCUUUGAUCGACAAUUACUGAUGCAGACUUCUCGGAAGGAUCUGUUUGUGAAAUUGAGAAUC